UACGUAGGGUCCGGGCGUUGUCCGGAGUUACUGGGCGUAAAGCGCGCGCAGGCGGCGCGGUCAGCAUGGCGUGAAAGCCCCCGGCUCAACCGGGGAGGGUCGUCGUGGACUGCCGCGCUUGAGGGCGGUAGGGGCUGGUGGAAUUCCCGGUGUAGUGGUGAAAUGCGUAGAGAUCGGGAGGAACACCCGUGGCGAAGGCGGCCAGCUGGGCCGACCCUGACGCUGAGGCGCGAAGGCGUGGGGAGCGAACGGG
This 253-nucleotide ribosomal RNA is filed under the name uncultured bacterium. RNAcentral describes it as "partial 16S ribosomal RNA". It matches the Rfam family "Bacterial small subunit ribosomal RNA", at positions 524 to 776 of the family's 1533-position model. The record is from RNAcentral.